Molecule: long non-coding RNA, 434 nt
Filed under: Vigna radiata
Lineage: Eukaryota; Viridiplantae; Streptophyta; Magnoliopsida; Fabales; Fabaceae
Description: long non-coding RNA (VRAD_LNC002095)
Source: RNAcentral
AAGAGUCCUUUGGGAAAACGAUACUCGGACUUACCCGUUUAUAUUACUUGAUAACGAUCUGGUACACUUGCCAGGGACUUAACACUGGGCUAUCAAGAAAAAUUAGUUUUUCUGGAAUAGAAAAUCCUUGAGUUAAGAGAGUUUAAAUCAUAUACUUUAAAUUUCAAGCACACUCUCUUUUUAACCAAUCUCACUCUUUCCCAAUUUCUUCCCUUUUUCAUUUUUUUACAUUGAGUUCACUUUACAUGUUUUUUCUCUUUUCUUCUUUUCUUUUCUUUCUCAUGCGUUUUUCUUUUUCAUCUUUUGAACUUAAUGCUUUUGCUUUUGCCUUUUACUUUCCCCAUACAACCCCAAACUUGAACCUUUUCAACAAAUACAAUUAUUCUUAACCCUAACUCAAGGUAAAUCAAUUCAAACAAGGGUUUUCAUACUGU